ACACUCCAGCACUAGAGUUUGUCGUACGGUCACAGGAAGCAGCUUGCUGCUUUGCUGACGAGUGGCGGACGGGUGAGUAAUGUCUGGGAAACUGCCCGAUGGAGGGGGAUAACUACUGGAAACGGUAGCUAAUACCGCAUAAUGUCGCAAGACCAAAGAGGGGGACCUUCGGGCCUCUUGCCAUCGGAUGUGCCCAGAUGGGAUUAGCUUGUUGGUGAGGUAACGGCUCACCAAGGCGACGAUCCCUAGCUGGUCUGAGAGGAUGACCAGCCACACUGGAACUGAGACACGGUCCAGACUCCUACGGGAGGCAGCAGUGGGGAAUAUUGCACAAUGGGCGCAAGCCUGAUGCAGCCAUGCCGCGUGUAUGAAGAAGGCCUUCGGGUUGUAAAGUACUUUCAGCGGGGAGGAAGGGGUUAAGGUUAAUAACCUUAGCCAUUGACGUUACCCGCAGAAGAAGCACCGGCUAACUCCGUGCCAGCAGCCGCGGUAAUACGGAGGGUGCAAGCGUUAAUCGGAAUUACUGGGCGUAAAGCGCACGCAGGCGGUCUGUCAAGUCGGAUGUG
RNAcentral lists this ribosomal RNA (566 nucleotides) under uncultured Escherichia sp. RNAcentral describes it as "bacterial SSU rRNA". It matches the Rfam family "Bacterial small subunit ribosomal RNA", at positions 49 to 596 of the family's 1533-position model. Lineage: Bacteria; Pseudomonadati; Pseudomonadota; Gammaproteobacteria; Enterobacterales; Enterobacteriaceae. The record is from RNAcentral.